UAUUGGACAAUGGGCGCAAGCCUGAUCCAGCAAUACCGCGUGUGUGAAGAAGGCCUUAGGGUUGUAAAGCACUUUCAAUUGGAAGGAAAACCUGCCGGUCAAUACCCGGUAGCUUGACAUUACCUUUAGAAGAAGCACCGGCUAACUCCGUGCCAGCAGCCGCGGUAAUACGGAGGGUGCGAGCGUUAAUCGGAAUUACUGGGCGUAAAGCGUGCGUAGGCGGUUCGUUAAGUCAGAUGUGAAAGCCCUGGGCUCAACCUGGGAACUGCAUUUGAAACUGGCGGACUAGAGUUUAGUAGAGGGGAGUGGAAUUUCAGGUGUAGCGGUGAAAUGCGUAGAUAUCUGAAGGAACACCAGUGGCGAAGGCGACUCCCUGGACUAGAACUGACGCUGAGGACGAAA
This 402-nucleotide ribosomal RNA is filed under the name uncultured bacterium. Its description in RNAcentral is "bacterial SSU rRNA". It matches the Rfam family "Bacterial small subunit ribosomal RNA", at positions 362 to 758 of the family's 1533-position model. The record is from RNAcentral.